AGAGAAAAAUAACCUCGGGAAACUGAGGAUAAUGUUUCAUAAUUGAAUUGGCUUGGAAAAGUUUUUCAAUGAAAGGGAUAAAAAAAAUGGUUUUUAUCCGCUAUAGGAUAGGAUCGUGUUCGAUUAUGGUUGUUGGUGAGAUAAUGGCUCACCAAGCCGAUAAUCGAUAGGGGCCGUGAGAGCGGGAGCCCCGAGAUGGGUACUGAGACAACGACCCAGGCCUUACGAGGCGCAGCAGGCGCGGAACCUCCGCAAUACGCGAAAGUGUGACGGGGUUACCCAAAGUGUUCAAUAGAACUGUGGUAGGUGAGUAAUGUCCCCUACUAGAAAGGAGAGGGCAAGGCUGGUGCCAGCCGCCGCGGUAAAACCAGCUCUUCAAGUGGUCGGGAUAAUUAUUGGGCUUAAAGUGUCCGUAGCCGGUUUAGUAAGUUCCUGGUAAAAUCGGGUAGCUUAACUACCUGCAUGCUAGGAAUACUGCUAUACUAGAGGGCGGGAGAGGUCUGAGGUACUACAGGGGUAGGGGUGAAAUCUUAUAAUCCUUGUAGGACCACCAGUGGCGAAGGCGUCAGACUGGAACGCGCCUGACGGUGAGGGACGAAAGCCAGGGGAGCGAACCGGAUUAGAUACCCGGGUAGUCCUGGCCGUAAACGAUGCAUACUAGGUGAUGGUACGGCCAUGAGCCGUAUCAGUGCCGUAGGGAAACCGUUAAGUGUGCCGCCUGGGAAGUACGGUCGCAAGGCUAAAACUUAAA
Molecule: ribosomal RNA, 751 nt
Filed under: uncultured archaeon
Lineage: Archaea
Description: bacterial SSU rRNA
Rfam family: Archaeal small subunit ribosomal RNA
Source: RNAcentral